CGGGAUCCUGGAGUUUCAUUGUUUUGUUGCUCCCUAUUUGGAUUGUUAUCAGUAGGAAGUGUGGGCCUUCGUAAGAAGGAAAAAGAGUAAGGAUGGACACAUUAACUUUAUAAGAGCUCUGCUUAAGGGAGCAGUUGUCGAGACGAAGACUGGCCAUGUGUGUUCCUGAGUGACCACCUUGAGCAGAAUCUUCUCAAGUCCCCUCCAAUGGACAUGGGACACAAUAGAAAAGAAACCUCUUAUUUAAGCUGUUGAUAUUGGGGGGUGAGGAAACUUAGCCUCAGAGAGGGGAAGAAAUAUGAUAAAGAUCACAAAACUAUCAAGUGGGUUGCUGCUGCUGCUGCUGCUAAGUCGCUCCAGUCGUGUCCAACUCUGUGCGACCCCAUAGACG
Long non-coding RNA from Bos taurus (domestic cattle), 391 nucleotides. The record is from Ensembl. NCBI's taxonomy places the organism in Eukaryota, Metazoa, Chordata, Mammalia, Artiodactyla, Bovidae.